AUCCAGACUCCUACGGGAGGCAGCAGUGGGGAAUAUUGCACAAUGGGGGAAACCCUGAUGCAGCGACGCCGCGUGAGCGAUGAAGUAUUUCGGUAUGUAAAGCUCUAUCGGCAGGGAAGAAGAUGACGGUACCUGACUAAGAAGCCCCGGCUAACUACGUGCCAGCAGCCGCGGUAAUACGUAGGGGGCAAGCGUUAUCCGGAUUUACUGGGUGUAAAGGGAGCGUAGACGGCGAUGCAAGCCAGAUGUGAAAGCCCGGGGCUCAACCCCGGGACUGCAUUUGGAACUGUGUGGCUGGAGUGUCGGAGAGGCAGGCGGAAUUCCUAGUGUAGCGGUGAAAUGCGUAGAUAUUAGGAGGAGCACCAGUGGCGAAGGCGGCCUGCUGGACGAUGACUGACGUUGAGGCUCGAAAGCGUGGGGAGCAAACAGGAUUAGAUACCCGUGUA
This 446-nucleotide ribosomal RNA is filed under the name uncultured bacterium. RNAcentral describes it as "bacterial SSU rRNA". It matches the Rfam family "Bacterial small subunit ribosomal RNA", at positions 329 to 792 of the family's 1533-position model. The record is from RNAcentral.